AUGGAGAGGGCCACGACGACGUGGUUCCACGCGCAGGCGGCGGCGGCGGCAGCAGCGGAGGACGACCUAUAUCUGGCGUUGACGCCGGCGGGCAGAAGGCUAGACCGGUACGACGAGCAAGCGCAGACGGUGUGCGUGGAGGGCAAGACGGUGCGGUUGUUCCAGUGCCUCUUCUGCGACAAGACGUUCCUCAAGUCGCAGGCGCUCGGCGGCCACCAGAACGCGCACCGCAAGGACCGCCUCGCCGGAGUCCUCGGCGACCCCUACAGCAACGACAGCCCGUUGGGAGGUGCCGCGACCGGGCCGUCCUGCGAUUCUGCUGCCGGCUGGUCCAUGUGCACCUACAUCGCCUCGCACGGCCGUGGCGCCGCGGUGGCUCCAGCCACCGAUGCCUGCACGCAAGAGAGAUGGGGAGGCGGCCGCGCUCCACGCUUCGCUGAGCCGGCGCCGCUCCUGGACCCGUCCACUGGCCGCGACGGCAUGGGUCGGUCAAAGGCCUCUGGCGCCGGCGAGGCGCUGGACCUCGAGCUGCACCUCUAG
This 540-nucleotide ribosomal RNA is filed under the name Triticum aestivum (bread wheat). RNAcentral's name for it is "partial small subunit ribosomal RNA". Lineage: Eukaryota; Viridiplantae; Streptophyta; Magnoliopsida; Poales; Poaceae. The record is from RNAcentral.